CGCUUACGACUCCCGCCGCUGCCGCCACGAUAGGGGCCGUAUUCAUCAUCGUCGUCGUCCUCCUCUUCCUCCUCCUCGUCCUCCUCGGUCAUGUCGUCAAUGAAGCUCGAUCUGCUCCGCUUCUCACCAAAUCUCUUGCUUCAAAGGAGGCCAGGGAUCGCUAGGUUAAGUUUUGAGAUCGGUGAAUAAAGCGAGAGAGAGAGAGAGGAGGAAGUGGCAUGCGAAAGAAAAUCAGUUUUGGUCUAGAUCUGAUCUAAAGGAUUGAAUAGUCUUGUUUUCUGAUUUUUUUUUUUAAUUAUACAAGCGACGGCGUGACCAUACCGUCGCAAUAGAUGUAUAAUUAUGCGACGGUAAGGUUAUUUCCGUUGCAAAAAUUCUUCGAGAUGCGACGGUAAAAUAGUCGUAGCACAUGCCGUCGCAAAAGUUGACUUUUCGCGACGGAAAACGUUUCCGUCG
This 456-nucleotide long non-coding RNA is filed under the name Rosa chinensis. RNAcentral's name for it is "sRNA RchiOBHm_Chr7g0181201". Lineage: Eukaryota; Viridiplantae; Streptophyta; Magnoliopsida; Rosales; Rosaceae. The record is from RNAcentral.